Molecule: RNA transcript, 3257 nt
Organism: Rattus norvegicus (Norway rat)
Lineage: Eukaryota; Metazoa; Chordata; Mammalia; Rodentia; Muridae
Source: RefSeq, a predicted model, not a curated record
AGCCUUGUGUGUCCCCAGACCCACUCUGAGUUCCAUACCUAGCCUGGGCUCCAUGGAAGGGUCCAUUUGCCAUGUUAGGAGUCUUGAGUGGCAUAAGCUAAAGAAGCCCUCACCCCUGCUUCUAGUGCCCGAAUCUAAGGCCCAGCACCCACCCUUUCCUCCUAAGACAUACCCCUCCAUGCCAGCUCAGAAGAAGCCAGAAAGGGGCCCUGGCUCCCACAGCUCAUUUGGUAGGGCUAUCAGCCGGGGUCCUCGCAGCCCAAUCUACAUACAUCUACCAAGUCCUUACUCUACAGUGGGGCCCACAGACUCUCAUUCCUACUUGUCUGGUGAAGGACUGUAGAGUCCUGGGUAAGGCGGGACACUGUGAGACCAAAAGUACUGGGUUUCAGAGCCAGUCCACCACUGAACUGUGGGAAUGUACGGCUGGCACUCUUAGGCACUGAGUCUUGUUUUGUUGUUGCUGUUGCUUUUAAAAAAGAUCCCAAUUUAGACUAUCAUGUGAGGUUUCUCAAUUUUUAAAUUUUAGUAACAAUUAACGUAACAGCAAUGGGGAAAAAAAGAGAACACUUUGAAAUGAAGCAUGGGCCAAACAAAACAGGGCUAGACAAGGCCGUGAGGACUCACCAGGCCGGGGCAAUGUUAGAGAGGAGCAGCUCCUGUGUGCAGUGGUCCUGGUGCUGUCUGGGGGCUGUGUUCCCUGCUUCAACAAUUCAGCUUAGCCUUCCAGUCAAGCAUAAACCCUGUAUUCUACACCCUUGGAAAGCUCUACCAUCCAUCCUUGAAAUUCCUGGCAAGGGUGAGAUAGAUCAGCCAUCCCUUCAGGACUGGCUUUUUUUCCCUAUCCCUGCCUUACUGAGCCUCAGCCUCCCCCAGGACUCAGCCAAGAUAGUCCACAUCCCGGGAAGCUUACCCCAUCCCUAGCCUCAUCUCUAUCCUGGAUGCCUCUUGCCCCCACCUCAAACUUCUUCUAGCUCAGUUCUCUCCCCACUGCACAAACCUAUGUAUCUUCCACAAGACAGAGGGCCAAGCUGUGAAUCCAGUAACUAACACACACACUAGGGACGCUGGCUGGCAUGUCCUGAUUGAGAGUGAGGUGGGGAAGUUCCUUCAGUUCCCUUCAUCUAAUGUACUUUCCAUAUAAGUGAACAGGAAGCCACAGGCCUGGUUUGGGUGUGAACCUGGAGAUCACACAACGUUGGGCACACCUGGUAUCACUCCACUUCUCCACUGUGCCUGACUCCCUUGUUGUCAGCCAAAGAGAGAUGAUCCAGGGUACAUAUACAUCUCAAGGCUAACCCCUUUGACAAAUGAGGAGACAGAGGCAGGAAGGUGUGAAGAAACUUGCUUGGAAUGCCCAGUUGUGAGGCAAAGGAUGAGGGUUACAUUAAAUGUUGUCCCACUCUGCCCUUCAUACCAUUCCUUUUCCUUGGUUAGCUCUAGGUGUGGCCUCUUAGGGGCAGACAACUUUUGUCUAUGAUAAAUUACUACCCUUCCUACCACCUGUGAGGUCAACAGUGGCAGACAGAGCAGGAUGAUGUCAACAAAGAAUAGUACCAUCACUCCUGCCAAGCGCACAGCGCACACCAUUCCCAAAAGCCCCUAGUAGACAGUGAGGGUCUUUUUGCUUGCAGUGACCUCCUUUGUCUGCUGACUUUGAAGGCCAUGUGUGGAACAGUCUUAUCCCUGAUGCUGAUGUGGUGGGAGAGACCUGUGGGCUACUGUGGACUGUCUGCGGCAGAUCAAGGAGUAUUUGCCCGGUACAACAGAGAUACAGUGCUCUCAUUGGCUGGGCCUGAUCAUGUGUCCAAUUGGAGGUGGAGUCAACACUCUGAACGAACCCAGCUCGAAGGUGACAACAGAAGUCUCACCAAAUCCAAGGGCCUGAAGCCAGCAGAUCCUCUUAGAGCUAAUCCCAAGGAGCCAGAGGCAAGAGGGCAUCCCAGUUCUGAAACCAUCCACAGCAAAGGAUCCCAGCGACAGACUCGCAAAGAAUACUUUCAAGAUGGAUUCCCCUGCUGUUCUUGAAAAUCCCUACUAGAUGUCAUGGAUGGUGGGAGGCAACGAAGGGGAGAAUAUUGUAAUAAAAUGUGCCAGCCAUAGUUGAGUAUUUCUUAUUUAGGGAAUGAGAAACACUGGGCAAACUCCUGGGUCCUGGUCCUUCCCAGCCUUGCCAGUCUCUUCCUGUCCCACCCCAGGUUUGUUACAUGCAGUAGAAGGCGAGAGUCAUAUAGGCACGGGCGGUACCACCCCCUUCGCAAGCAAGCAAGCAAGCAAGCAAAGAGCAAAGCAUGAAGAAGACAAGGAGAUUCGGAAGGGUCUAAGCAUACGGAAUGCUGAGACCUGUCAAUGCCUCAUCACAGUGGCCUACCCAUGUGGAAACAAAUGACUCAGAGAGAGCUCUCAGCCUCCUCUGAAGAGGCAGAAGAUGGGAACCUCAGCCUCUCAUGAUCUAUCCUCGCCUUUGGGACUCUAACCUCCGAAUCACCUCCGUAGCCCAGAGUGGGUGACAGUGCUGGUCUCCUGGGAGUUCAGUGGAUGGAAAGUGGCUUUGAUGUCCACACAAGCUCUGCUGCCUGCUCUGCUCUUGGGAAGGAAGGAAUAGAGGAGAGUUUCACAUUUAUUUCCCCAGCUCUGCCUCCUGCCUGACUCUGUUCCCACUCCUGACCUGAACUUUCUACACACAGUGAGCAAGUUAAGGCCCUGGGAAAUGAAAAGCAUUUUGACGGCUAACCACAGAGCCCUCCAAUAGAAUCACAAUCAUACGUUUAAGCUUCUACCCAGCAUCAUAACACGCUUAAGGCAUGCUUUGGGAGAUGCCAGUGGUUCCUCAUGCAAGACAUGUCUUCCCAUCUUCCCACAUCGGUUAGCUCAGCCUCACUCUUCUCCCUCCAUCCCCAACCCCCAAGUCUUGUGGAAACUUGUUGAUUAGCUGGAAUCACUUGCCUGCCUCCAGGAUAAUGGGGGUGGGGCAAUUUCUCAGGGAGGUAUUUGCUCGGGGGCCAUGCAGAACAGAGGGAAGACAGUCAGGAGGGCUCAAAAGAACCCAGGAAAGCAAGAGGGAGAUGCUGCUGUCCCUCCUCCACCAGUUCUCAUUUACCCGGAAGUGUGGCUCCUCUGGGCCCUGCCCAAUAUACCUGUCUCAUCCAUGUCCACAGCAAAUAUCCAGCAGUAACGGGAAGCCAUCACUACAGGGAAAGUGAUGGCCACUAGACCCUCAGUUUUCUCUGGUUCAAGGAAGCAGGAGUCCCUGCAGA